Molecule: ribosomal RNA, 368 nt
Filed under: uncultured organism
Description: bacterial SSU rRNA
Rfam family: Bacterial small subunit ribosomal RNA
Source: RNAcentral
CGAAGGUGGCAAGCGUUGUUCGGAUUUACUGGGCGUACAGGGAGCGUAGGCGGUUGGAUAAGCCCUCCGUGAAAUCUCCAGGCUUAACCUGGAAAGUGCAGAGGGGACUGUUCAGCUAGAGGAUGGGAGAGGAGCGCGAAAUUCCCGGUGUAGCGGUGAAAUGCGUAGAGAUCGGGAGGAAGGCCGGUGGCGAAGGCGGCGCUCUGGAACAUUUCUGACGCUGAGGCUCGAAAGCGUGGGGAGCAAACAGGAUUAGAUACCCUGGUAGUCCACGCCUUAAACGAUGGAUACUAAGUGUCGGCGGGUUACCGCCGGUGCCGCAGCUAACGCAGUAAGUAUCCCGCCUGGGAAGUACGGCCGCAAGGUUG